GACGAACGCUGGCGGCGUGCUUAACACAUGCAAGUCGAACGGUAAGGCCCUGCUUUUGUGGGGUGCUCGAGUGGCGAACGGGUGAGUAACACGUGAGUAACCUGCCCUUGACUUUGGGAUAACUUCAGGAAACUGGGGCUAAUACCGGAUAGGAGCUCCUGCUGCAUGGUGGGGGUUGGAAAGUUUCGGCGGUUGGGGAUGGACUCGCGGCUUAUCAGCUUGUUGGUGGGGUAGUGGCUUACCAAGGCUUUGACGGGUAGCCGGCCUGAGAGGGUGACCGGCCACAUUGGGACUGAGAUACGGACCAGACUCCUACGGGAGGCAGCAGUGGGGAAUAUUGCACAAUGGGCGGAAGCCUGAUGCAGCAACGCCGCGUGCGGGAUGACGGCCUUCGGGUUGUAAACCGCUUUCGCCUGUGACGAAGCGUGAGUGACGGUAAUGGGUAAAGAAGCACCGGCUAACUACGUG
Molecule: ribosomal RNA, 468 nt
Filed under: uncultured bacterium
Lineage: Bacteria
Description: partial 16S ribosomal RNA
Rfam family: Bacterial small subunit ribosomal RNA
Source: RNAcentral